Catharus ustulatus (Swainson's thrush) is the source of this 6509-nucleotide RNA transcript. It is a transcript of the gene named adenylate cyclase 9, with no coding region annotated. The record is from RefSeq and is a predicted model, not a curated record. NCBI's taxonomy places the organism in Eukaryota, Metazoa, Chordata, Aves, Passeriformes, Turdidae. The transcript has 11 exons.
CCGGCGAGCGGCCGAUCGCCGCGGCGCUGCCCGGCCGCCCCUACGCGGCGGGGACCGGAGGAGACUAGAGGCGACUCAGCGAGGAGCCCGGUGGCUUUGGCAACCCCAGAGACCUAAGUCCGGCGCGGGCUCUUGAGGAAGAAUUGACAACAUGGCUUCCCCACCGCACCAGCAGCUGCUGCAUCACCACAGCACCGAGGUGAGCUGCGACUCCAGCGGGGACAGCAACAGCGUGACGGUGAAAAUCAACCCCAAGCAGCACCAGGGCUGCACCUCUUCCAAGCACUGCAAGUACAGCAUCUCCUCCAGCUGCAGCUCGGGGGAGUCGGGGGGCACCCGCCGAGCCGGCGGAGCGGGUGUCAGCGGCUCCGGCCUCCGCCGGCAGAAGAAGCUGCCGCAGCUCUUUGAGAGGGCCUCUUCCAAGUGGUGGAACCCCAAGUUCGACUCCAACAACCUGGAGGAGGCUUGCAUGGAGAGAUGCUUUCCGCAGACCCAGCGCAGGUUUCGCUAUGCCCUCUUCUACAUCGGCGUGGCCUGUCUGCUCUGGGGCAUCUACUUCGGCAUACACAUGAGAGAGAAACAGAUAGUUUUCAUGGUGCCGGCUCUGUGCUUCCUUCUGGUAUGUGUAGCUUUUUUUGUGUUCACUUUCACUAAGACUUAUUCCCGCCAUUACGUAUGGACUUCGCUGAUACUCACCCUCCUGGUGUUUGCUCUGACCCUCGCUCCGCAGUUCCAGGCUCUGAAGCCUGUCUCAGGAAGUGGUGACAUGUCCAACCGGACUCCCCCGGCAGAUCCCACAGACACUUGUCUUUCUCAAGUGGGCAGUUUUUCUAUGUGUAUUGAAGUGCUCUUGUUGCUUUACACAGUGAUGCACUUACCCCUGUAUUUAAGCUUGUUUCUGGGACUGUCGUACUCGGUCCUCUUCGAGACCUUUGGUUAUCACUUCCGUGAUGAGAACUGUUUCACACCUCUGGGAGCUGGUGCGGUUUACUGGGAGCUCUUGAGCAAAGCCUUCCUGCACAUCUGCAUCCACGCCAUUGGUAUUCAUUUAUUUAUCAUGUCCGAAGUCAGAUCAAGAAGCACAUUCCUGAAAGUGGGGCAAUCCAUCAUGCAUGGAAAGGACUUGGAAGUGGAAAAAGCCCUGAAAGAGAGGAUGAUUCAUUCUGUUAUGCCAAGAAUAAUAGCUGAUGACUUAAUGAAGCAGGGGGAUGAUGAAAGUGAAAACUCCAUCAAACGUCAUUCCACCUCAAGCCCCAAAAACAGGAAGAAGAAGCCCUCCAUACAGAAAACCCCCAUAAUAUUCCGUCCUUUUAAAAUGCAGCAGAUCGAGCAAGUGAGCAUUUUGUUCGCAGAUAUUGUUGGCUUCACGAAAAUGAGCGCCAACAAAUCAGCCCACGCCCUGGUGGGACUCCUGAACGACCUCUUUGGACGCUUUGACCGUCUGUGUGAGGACACUAAAUGUGAGAAGAUCAGCACUUUGGGAGACUGCUACUACUGCGUGGCGGGCUGCCCCGAGCCCCGGGCAGAUCAUGCUUAUUGCUGCAUCGAGAUGGGCUUGGGGAUGAUCAAAGCCAUCGAGCAGUUCUGCCAGGAGAAGAAAGAAAUGGUGAACAUGAGAGUCGGUGUUCACACCGGGACAGUGCUGUGUGGCAUUUUGGGAAUGAGGAGGUUCAAGUUCGAUGUGUGGUCCAACGAUGUGAAUUUGGCCAAUCUGAUGGAGCAGCUCGGGGUGGCUGGGAAGGUCCAUAUUUCGGAAGCUACUGCCAAAUAUUUGGAUGAUCGUUAUGAAAUGGAGGAUGGAAAGGUGGUUGAGCGUGUCGGUCAGAGCGUGGUAGCCGAUCAGUUAAAAGGUUUAAAGACCUAUCUGAUCUCGGGUCAGAAGGUGAAGGAGCCCCACUGCAGCUGUUCUCAAGCGUUGCUUCCUGGCUUGGAGUCUGCAGACGGAGCCAGGACCCCGGGAACGUCGGCAGCCGAGAACUCCAGCGACCUGACCAAGGCAACCAAGCAGGUGGAAAAACCCAAGCCUUGCCCUUCAUGUAGUACCACACUUGCUCCCCACUGCGAUGUCAGCAUAGAUGAAGGAGCUAUCCAAAAUGGUUGUCAGGAUGAGCAUAAAAACAGUACAAAGGCUCCAGGAGGACACAGUCCAAAGACUCAGAAUGGGCUUCUGAGCCCUCCCCAGGAGGAGAAGCUCAGCAACAGCCAGACCUCUCUGUAUGAGAUGCUGCAGGAGAAGGGGCGCUGGGGCGGGGUGAGCCUGGAUCAGUCAGCCCUGCUCCCUCUGAGGUUCAAAAACAUCCGAGAAAAGACAGAUGCCCACUUCGUGGAUGUGAUUAAAGAAGACAGCCUCAUGAAAGAUUACUUCUUUAAACCACCUAUUAACAAGCUGAGCCUCAACUUCUUGGAUCAGGAUUUGGAGAUGGCCUACAGGACGAGCUACCAGGAAGAGGUUAUAAGGAAUGCUCCAGUGAAGACAUUUGCCAGUGCAACCUUUAGCUCACUCCUGGACGUGUUCCUGUCCACCACAGUCUUCCUCAUCCUCUCCAUCACGUGUUUCCUCAAGCACGGGAUGGUGGCGUCGCCUCCUCCUCCUGCGGCCGUCGUGGUGUUCGUCAUCGCCAUCCUGCUGGAAGUGCUGUCCCUUGUCGUCUCCAUCAGGAUGGCGUUCUUCCUGGAGGAGGUGAUGACUUGCACCAAGCGUCUCCUGGAGGUGAUAUCUGGCUGGCUGCCUCGACACUUCUUUGGUGCAAUCCUGGUUUCUCUCCCAGCUCUUGCAGUUUUUUCACACUUCACCUCUGAUUUUGAAACAAAUAUACAUUACACCAUGUUCAUGUGUUGUGCCAUUCUCAUCACCAUUGUGCAGUACUGUAACUUCUGCCAGCUCAGCUCCUGGAUGAGAUCCCUGCUGGCAACCGUGGUGGGAGCAGUGCUGCUCAUCCUGCUCUACGUCUCCUUGUGCCCCUCCAGCUCCAUGGAAGCUCCUCAUCUAGAUUUGGCACAGAACUUUAGCUCCAGGAAGAGCCCAUGCAACAGCUCGGCGCCGAGCGCGGCGCAGCGACCGGCGGAGCUCAUUGGCCACGAGGUGGUUCUGGUGUCCUUCCUGCUGCUCCUGCUCGUCUGGUUCCUGAACCGCGAGUUCGAGGUCAGUUACCGCCUGCACUACCACGGGGACGUGGAGGCCGACCUGCACCGCACCAAGAUCCAGAGCAUGAGGGAUCAGGCAGACUGGCUGCUGAGGAAUAUCAUCCCCUACCACGUGGCCGAGCAGCUGAAGGUGUCCCAGAGCUAUUCCAAAAACCACGACAGCGGCGGGGUGAUCUUUGCCAGCAUCGUCAACUUCAGUGAGUUCUACGAGGAGAACUACGAGGGUGGCAAGGAGUGUUACCGGGUCCUGAACGAGCUCAUCGGGGACUUCGACGAGCUGCUGAGCAAACCCCACUACAGCAGCAUCGAGAAGAUCAAAACCAUCGGGGCCACCUACAUGGCAGCCUCGGGGCUCAACACCUCGCAGUGCCAGGACAGCAGCCAUCCCCACGGGCACCUGCAGACCCUUUUUGAAUUUGCCAAAGAAAUGAUGCGGGUGGUGGAUGACUUCAACAACAACAUGCUGUGGUUUAACUUUAAGCUCCGGAUCGGCUUCAACCACGGCCCCCUCACGGCCGGGGUCAUCGGCACCACCAAGCUGCUGUAUGACAUCUGGGGGGACACUGUGAACAUCGCCAGCAGGAUGGACACCACCGGCGUCGAGUGCCGCAUCCAGGUGAGUGAGGAGAGCUACCGCAUCCUCAGCAAGAUGGGGUAUGACUUUGACUACAGGGGGACGGUCAAUGUGAAGGGGAAGGGUCAGAUGAAGACCUACCUUUACCCCAAGUGCAUGGACAACGGGAUCGUGCCGCAUCACCAGUUGUCCAUAUCUCCAGACAUUCGGGUUCAAGUGGAUGGCAGCAUCGGGCGGUCUCCGACGGAUGAGAUCGCCAACCUGGUGCCUUCUGUACAGAAUUCUGAUAAGAUAGCCCAUGGCACAGAUAGCUCAGAAGCCAAGGACAUCCUUCCUCCCGCCAAGAAGCUCGAGAAAGAUGCGGCGAAGGCAGAGGAGAGGUGCAGGUUUGGCAAAGCUGUGGAAAAGGAUGACUGUGAGGAAGCGGGGACUGAGGAGGUCAAUGAACUGACAAAGCUAAAUAUCUCUAAGAGUGUAUGAUGAACUGUCAGAGUUGCAUGAAGUGCUCUGUCCAUAGAAACACACAGACUUUUGCAAUUGGCAGUUUUCUUUUUCAAGAGAGACCUUCUCCACACCUGGGUUGUACGUUUGUGUUCAUUUCGGCACCUGGGGCUGUGUGGAUCAUGGCUCUUCAGGGCUUGUUUUCAUCCAUCUCUCUCCUCCAUGCCCCAAAUCACAUCCCAAGCUCCCCAGCUCCCUGUGCAGCCAUCUUACAGCUGAGUAGAGGAUAUUAAGUGCCUUCAGAUAUACUCCAUUGGACUCCCUGUCAAGGUACAGAGGCCCCAAGUGAAAUCAUAGCUUUGGGUAUUUAUCUAAUUUUAAAGAAAAGAAAAGCUGUGGUUAUAUCAUUUUUAUUGUUGUUUCUCACAAAACACUUUUUUUGGCUAAUGCAACUCCUUGGGUUUUUUAUAUCUCUCAAAACAAUGUUUUACUGUUAUCAGACCUUUUGUAUGUAACACACAGACAUGUGCAUGUAUCUACCAUACAAGACUGCUAUAAAGUGCCAGUAAUGCACCACAAGAAUGUCUGGGCCAGGGGUGACACACUCUGGGUCGGGCUGGAGGGGCGCUUGUGCCGUGGCUCAGCCUUUAGUUAGGGCAGGAGGAGCAGCUGCUGUCGUUGUGUUCUCCUUUCCCGAUGCUUUCUGCAGCCUCCAUGUGCCAUCGUGUGCUUUGGAUACUCUUCUUUUCCAUAUAGCCAAUGAGUUACUGAUCCAUGGGAAUGGAAGGAGGGUUGGGACAGUGCCAGCUCUGGGGACAGGUUUCCAGAAGCAGAGGAGAGACCACGGGAGUGCUGCGGUUCAGGGCUCCCGGCUCCGUACGCGGCUCAGUGAGCGAAGACCCUGCCCAUCCUUGCUCUCUCCUUGCUCAGAUGUGUGCAAGGGCAGAGCUCAGUCAGGACGUGCUGACUCCCUAAGACACUGCACAGUAACCAAACCUCCACCAGCCCAACCCUGCACCUGGGAGAGGUUGGCAGCCUGUGGUUAAACCUGAAAGGAAGAGGUGCUGGAAUGAGAACCUGGACCCAAAGCACCUUCCUCUCAUUGCUCAAUCACUUCAGGAUGCAAAAUCUCUCCUCCAGCCUAUAAAGUACACAAGGUUCCCAUGCUGCUGUGGCAUGGGGCUGUGGGACUAUUGUUGGGUUUAUGGGAACAUCUGAAUACCAAACCCCAAACCCACCAAGGCCUCUCUUUGUUGACACUAAGCAAAUAAAGGCACUGAGGACAGCAGCACUGUUGGACUCAGAAAUCAAGGGCUGUUGUCUGCUCUGGGAACUGCCAGUGAUUGUACUCUGCCUUAACUCUGGGUUGGGGAAGGACUCCUGCUGGGUGACCAGUGGUGCCCCAUUUGCUCAUUGCCAGGGCAGCAGCAAGAACCCCACAGCUGGAGCUGUGGGGCUGCCAGGGGUUCAAUCUCUUCAAUGCAGUGUAGGAACCAAAUGAAGUUCGGUUCUCAAGGGAUGGUUUGGAGGGGGAGAUUUUCCAGGUGCAAGGAGAUACCUGUUUGUGUUGUAAACCAGCGUGAGCUGAGCCUUCACAGCUCCCCUUGCGCUUUUGAAGAUUUAUCCUGACACUAAAAUGACUCUGGAGGCGUUUCUAGCAGUGCUGUGUGGCUCUGCUGCGCAGUUCCUGACACGUGUGCUGGUGGGAGGCCACAGGCAAAGUUCACUCCAUUAAAAUGCCUGUGGUGUGUGUGCUGUUGGUGCCAGCAGUGCUGUCAGUGAACAUGGGGGGCAGGCUGGAUCCCCAGGGGUUUAUUCCACAAGGACAAUCCAUGUGUGGCUGCACUUCCACAAUCUUUAGGGUGGUUUAAUGACAGUGAUUUAAAAAUGGUCCAGAGAAGGGGACUGAGGAGAUUGCUGGGUAUUUGUGAGCCUCAUGUUGCCUUCUGCCACUUGCAGUACCUGCUCCAGGCUGCAGAGUGACAAGGAGUGCACAGAAUAUUGUCAGCAGUGAGGUCUUAAUCUGCUGCUAACACACCAAAAUGCUUUUUUCUCCCUGCUGCUCCUGUGAGAGGAUUCUCAGUGAGAACCAGGUAAAUGGCAUUCCCAUUCACUUCUGGCAUUAGGAUUUUGAGAAGGACAGAUUUGCCUGUUACCUCUUAGGAUUUGGGGCCAUUCCCCUUUGCUGGAGGUAACAUGAGCAGAGUGGGACAGUGCCACGGUCUGGCUGCAGCUUCUGCUGUGUCCCAGAAGUGACAAAAUGAGAGGAGGAAAGGGUGGAUUCCCCAAGGGCUUUAUACAAACAUAGGUAUUUGGAUACUCUUCUUUUAGGGCUAGAACACAGAAAGAA